Long non-coding RNA from Hemicordylus capensis (graceful crag lizard), 321 nucleotides. RefSeq lists it as uncharacterized. Lineage: Eukaryota; Metazoa; Chordata; Lepidosauria; Squamata; Cordylidae. The transcript has 2 exons. The record is from RefSeq and is a predicted model, not a curated record.
UUCACAGAGCUCCUGAGAAGCUGAUUGGCCAACAGCAUUGUUUGGGAGGAGGAAAAAAGAGAGUUUGUUCACAUGACACUGUAGUACACAACCAGGAGUACAGAACAGAAAGGAAAACCUACCAGGACUACCAUGUAGUGUACAUGGGAUGUUUGCUGUGCAUAUAAUGCACACCUUUCUUGAGGAAUUCACUACCACAAAUUGUGUUGAUGGUCCCUAACUUUGGUUUAUCUCCGGCUGUUAUUCAUGAGAGCUACAUUAAUCCUCCAUAUACCCUCCAUGUACAAAGCAAUAGAAUCCCAGAUACUGAGACAGACAACA